UACGGAGAGGGCUAGCGUUGUUCGGAAUUACUGGGCGUAAAGCGCACGUAGGCGGCUUUGUAAGUUAGAGGUGAAAGCCCAGGGCUUAACCCUGGAAUUGCCUUUAAGACUGCAUCGCUAGAAUCGUGGAGAGGUGAGUGGGAUUCCGAGUGUAGAGGUGAAAUUCGUAGAUAUUCGGAAGAACACCAGUGGCGAAGGCGACUCACUGGACACGUAUUGACGCUGAGGUGCGAAAGCGUGGGGAGCAAACAGG
RNAcentral lists this ribosomal RNA (253 nucleotides) under uncultured bacterium. Its description in RNAcentral is "partial 16S ribosomal RNA". It matches the Rfam family "Bacterial small subunit ribosomal RNA", at positions 524 to 776 of the family's 1533-position model. The record is from RNAcentral.